This 460-nucleotide ribosomal RNA is filed under the name uncultured bacterium. RNAcentral's name for it is "partial 16S ribosomal RNA". It matches the Rfam family "Bacterial small subunit ribosomal RNA", at positions 338 to 795 of the family's 1533-position model. The record is from RNAcentral.
CCUACGUGAGGCAGCAGUGAGGAAUAUUGGUCAAUGGGCGCGAGCCUGAACCAGCCAAGUAGCGUGAAGGAUGACUGCCCUACGGGUUGUAAACUUCUUUUUUAAAGGAAUAAAGUGAGGCACGUGUGCCUUUUUGUCUGUACUUUAUGAUUAAGGAUCGGCUAACUCCGUGCCAGCGGCCGCGGUAAUACGGAGGAUCCGAGCGUUAUCCGGAUUUAUUGGGUUUAAAGGCAGCGGAGAUGGGUUAUUAAGGCAGGUGUGAAAGUUUGCGGCUCAAACGUAAGAUUGCAAUUGAUACUGGCUGUCUUGAGUACAGUUGAGGUAGGCGGAAUUCGUGGUGUAGCGGUGAAAUGCUUAGAUAUCACGAAGAACUCCGAUUGCGAAGGCAGCUUACUAAACUGCCACUGACAUUGAUGCUCGAAAGUGUGGGUAUCAAACAGGAUUAGAUACCCUUGUAGUC